GGAUGGAUAAGCUAAUUGAUCAAGCUAGUGGGCCCAUACCCCAAAAAUGAGAUUAUUCUCUCCCUCCG
This 68-nucleotide transfer RNA is filed under the name Pisione sp. YZ-2018. RNAcentral's name for it is "tRNA-Met". Lineage: Eukaryota; Metazoa; Annelida; Polychaeta; Phyllodocida; Pisionidae. The record is from RNAcentral.